This 468-nucleotide ribosomal RNA is filed under the name uncultured bacterium. RNAcentral describes it as "partial 16S ribosomal RNA". It matches the Rfam family "Bacterial small subunit ribosomal RNA", at positions 28 to 507 of the family's 1533-position model. The record is from RNAcentral.
GACGAACGCUGGCGGCGUGCUUAACACAUGCCAGUCGAACGGAAAGGCCCUGCUUUUGUGGGGUGCUCGAGUGGCGAACGGGUGAGUAACACGUGAGUAACCUGCCCUUGACUCUGGGAUAACUUCAGGAAACUGGGGCUAAUACAGGAUAGGAGCUCCUGCUGCAUGGUGGGGGUUGGAAAGUUUCGGCGUUUGGGGAUGGAUUCGCGGCUUACUAGCUUCAUGGUGGGGGAGGGGCUUACCAAGGGUUGGAAGGGUAGCCCGCCUGAGAGGGUGACCGGUCACAUUGGGACUGAGAUACGGCCCAGGCGCCUACUGGAGGCAGCAGUGGGGAAUAUUGCACAAUGGGCGCCAGCCUGAUGCAGCAACGCCGCGUGCUGGAUGACCUCCUUCGGGUUGUAAACCGCUUUCGCCUGUGACGAAGCGGUAGUGACGGUAAUGAGUGAAGAAGCACCGGCUAACUACGUG